RNAcentral lists this ribosomal RNA (254 nucleotides) under uncultured bacterium. RNAcentral describes it as "partial 16S ribosomal RNA". It matches the Rfam family "Bacterial small subunit ribosomal RNA", at positions 524 to 776 of the family's 1533-position model. The record is from RNAcentral.
UACGUAGGGGGCGAGCGUUGUCCGAAGUUACUGGGCGUAAAGCGCGCGUAGGCGGUCUCUUAAGUCCGGGGUGAAAGGUUCAGCGCUCAACGCGAACAGUGCCCUGGAGACUGGGGGACUUGAGUGUGGGAGGGGGCAGUGGAAUUCCGGGUGUAGCGGUGAAAUGCGUAGAUAUCUGAAGGAACAUCAGUGGCGAAAGCGACUUCCUGGACCAAUACUGACGCUCAUGUGCGAAAGCGUGGGGAGCAAACAGG